UCAGAUUAGGUAGUUGGUGAGGUAAAGGCUCACCAAGCCGACGAUCUGUAGCUGGUCUGAGAGGACGACCAGCCACACUGGGACUGAGACACGGCCCAGACUCCUACGGGAGGCAGCAGUGGGAAUUUUGGACAAUGGGCGCAAGCCUGAUCCAGCAAUGCCGCGUGCAGGAUGAAGGCCUUCGGGUUGUAAACUGCUUUUGUACGGAACGAAACGGUGAGCUCUAAUACAGUUUGCUAAUGACGGUACCGUAAGAAUAAGCACCGGCUAACUACGUG
Molecule: ribosomal RNA, 278 nt
Filed under: uncultured bacterium
Lineage: Bacteria
Description: partial 16S ribosomal RNA
Rfam family: Bacterial small subunit ribosomal RNA
Source: RNAcentral